RNAcentral lists this ribosomal RNA (254 nucleotides) under uncultured bacterium. RNAcentral's name for it is "partial 16S ribosomal RNA". It matches the Rfam family "Bacterial small subunit ribosomal RNA", at positions 524 to 776 of the family's 1533-position model. The record is from RNAcentral.
UACGUAGGGGGCAAGCGUUGUCCGGAUUUAUUGGGCGUAAAGAGCUCGUAGGCGGCUUGGCAAGUCGGGUGUGAAAACUUCAGGCUCAACCUGGAGCGGCCACUCGAUACUGCUAUGGCUUGAGUCCGGUAGGGGACCACGGAAUUCCCAGUGUAGCGGUGAAAUGCGUAGAUAUUGGGAAGAACACCGGUGGCGAAGGCGGCUACCUGGACCGGUACUGACGCUGAGGCGCGAAAGCCAGGGGAGCGAAUGGG